UGCUGGUCCAUGUUGACUCUACAAUGUGUUGAAAGCGUUCCACAGGGAUGCUGGCCCAUGUUGACUCUACAAGGUGUUGAAAGUGUUCCACAGGGAUGCUGGCCCAUGUUGACUCUACAAGGUGUCUAAAGCGUUCCACAGGGAUGCUGGUCCAUGUUGACUCUACAAGGUGUCUAAAGUGUUCCACAGGGAUGCUGGUCCAUGUUGACUCUACAAGGUGUCGAAAGCGUUCCACAGGGAUGCUGGUCCAUGUUGACUCUACAAGGUGUCUAAAGUGUUCCACAGGGAUGCUGGCCCAUGUUGACUCUACAAGGUGUUGAAAGCGUUCCACAGGGAUGCUGGCCCAUGUUGACUCUACAAGGUGUCGAAAGCGUUCCACAGGGAUGCUGGCCCAUGUUGACUCUACAAGGUGUUGAAAGCGUUCCACAGGGAUGCUGGCCCAUGUUGACUCUACAAGGUGUCGAAAGCGUUCCACAGGGAUGCUGGCCCAUGUUGACUCUACAAGGUGUCUAAAGCGUUCCACAGGGAUGCUGGCCCCAUGUUGACUCUACAAGGUGUCGAAAGCGUUCCACAGGGAUGCUGGCCCCAUGUUGACUCUACAAGGUGUCUAAAGCGUUCCACAGGGAUGCUGGUCCAUGUUGACUCUACAAGGUGUCUAAAGCGUUCCACAGGGAUGCUGGCCCAUGUUGACUCUACAAGGUGUCUAAAGCGUUCCACAGGGAUGCUGGCCCAUGUUGACUCUACAAGGUGUCUAAAGCGUUCCACAGGGAUGCUGGCCCCAUGUUGACUCUACAAGGUGUUGAAAGCGUUCCACAGGGAUGCUGGCCCCAUGUUGACUCUACAAGGUGUCUAAAGCGUUCCACAGGGAUGCUGGCCCAUGUUGACUCUACAA
Molecule: long non-coding RNA, 892 nt
Organism: Oncorhynchus keta (chum salmon)
Lineage: Eukaryota; Metazoa; Chordata; Actinopteri; Salmoniformes; Salmonidae
Exons: 10
Source: RefSeq, a predicted model, not a curated record